UGAAAUUGGUGCGCCGUUGUCACGGCCGAU
Molecule: small RNA, 30 nt
Filed under: Bombyx mori (domestic silkworm)
Lineage: Eukaryota; Metazoa; Arthropoda; Insecta; Lepidoptera; Bombycidae
Description: ovarian small RNA-30635
Source: RNAcentral